RNAcentral lists this long non-coding RNA (896 nucleotides) under Pan troglodytes (chimpanzee). Its description in RNAcentral is "long non-coding RNA NONPTRT009424". Lineage: Eukaryota; Metazoa; Chordata; Mammalia; Primates; Hominidae. The record is from RNAcentral.
GUGAGACCUGAGCCCCGGAAAAACACGAAGGUCCCAAAGCCGGCAAAAGUAGACACUGAGUUUAUUAUUUGCCAGACAAGGGGAGGCUUCCAUUUCAUUACGAAAGGUCAGGAGUGCUCUCUGAGCUGAAGGUGAACGGACAGCUGCGGUGUAGGAAAUAGGAAGUUUUGUCCACAGUUCUGAUUGGCGGAAAAAGCACAUUGUAAACUCUCUGAGGAUCGCUCCUGUUCCGAUUUGUGUUGCAGAAGCAGGAGCACCGUUCCUGGAAGACAGUGGCAGACAAGCAGCUCUCCCAGCUGCAGAGACAAGAUGACCACAGGAGAGCCAGCAGAGGAUGCUGUUACCAGGGAGCUAGGACAGCCAGCACACAGGCAGACGGAGGCACGCAGCCUGAGUCCCAGUCAGCCGGAGGACAUGUGAUUAAAAUGCUGCUGAAUAGGGAAAAAAUCCCGGGCCCAGAAGUUGAGGUCCCUGUGGGUGGGGCCGUGGGGAGGGGGUGCGACCCAGGCCAUGCCCAGGCUUGUGAUUUCUGACCUCGCGCUAGUGCAUUUACGGGUAAACUGAGGCUGGGAGGGAAGCCUCUCUCUGUGUGGGGAGGUGGUCCUCUGUCCGUGUCCGUGGUGAGGGGCUGUGCCCACCCGCUGCCUAGAGAGGAGCACCGGUGCUUUUGUAAAGAGCAGUAUAAAUACACUUCCGUUCAGAUAAAACACAAUAAAUAGGUGGCGGCAAUGGCGGGACGGCACCACACCUGCUCAGGCGGCCGGACGCACACUGCAGGAGUGGCUGGCGAGAGGCCAGCCGCAGGGACACGAGCCGAGGUCCUGUUGUUUGAGGUAAAAAUGUAUAGAAACGGUUCCUUGACAGCGAAAUCCCCGCUUGACACUCAGAUGGGCGAG